GGGGCUAUAGCUCAGUUGGUAGAGCGCGUCGUUCGCAAUGACGAGGUCAGGGGUUCGAUUCCCCUUAGCUCCA
RNAcentral lists this transfer RNA (73 nucleotides) under Ilumatobacter sp. Its description in RNAcentral is "tRNA-Ala". It matches the Rfam family "tRNA". Rfam says of the family: Transfer RNA (tRNA) molecules are approximately 80 nucleotides in length. Their secondary structure includes four short double-helical elements and three loops (D, anti-codon, and T loops). RNAcentral also lists the same sequence under 3 other names. The record is from RNAcentral. Lineage: Bacteria; Bacillati; Actinomycetota; Acidimicrobiia; Acidimicrobiales; Ilumatobacteraceae.